This is a non-coding RNA of Caenorhabditis elegans, 150 nucleotides long. The record is from Ensembl. NCBI's taxonomy places the organism in Eukaryota, Metazoa, Nematoda, Chromadorea, Rhabditida, Rhabditidae.
AUGAACUUCGUCGGACACACCUGUCUGGAGACAGGGGACCCGUUCGGAAUUGAAUAUUCUAGUAUUUUGAUGCUAGAAGAAUCAACAAACACUUACUGUAUUGGAAAGAAUUUUGAUGAGCAGUUUUGUUCAAUCAGAAGUUUUUUACAG